AGUUCUCUAUCGCUUAAUUCAAUUUUUGAAGCGGAGAAACCAAUUUCGGGGUGAAUCCUUCGCAAUGUGUUUUCAGAUUUGCGAGGGUAGGGUUACUUUUCAAUCCGAAUCCGUCAGCUAACUUCGUAAGCGUUGAAAGGGAGGAACC
Molecule: small RNA, 148 nt
Filed under: Desulfosporosinus lacus
Lineage: Bacteria; Bacillati; Bacillota; Clostridia; Eubacteriales; Desulfitobacteriaceae
Description: c-di-AMP sequence
Rfam family: c-di-AMP riboswitch aptamer (ydaO/yuaA leader)
About the family: This family represents a conserved RNA structure found upstream of the ydaO and yuaA genes in Bacillus subtilis and related genes in other bacteria. The ydaO/yuaA element is thought to act as a genetic "off" switch for the ydaO and yuaA genes in its native state. It is believed that the element may be triggered during osmotic shock leading to activation of ydaO, a predicted amino acid transporter gene, and members of the yuaA-yubG operon which code for KtrA and KtrB K+ transporters.
Source: RNAcentral